Molecule: long non-coding RNA, 1221 nt
Organism: Ruditapes philippinarum (Manila clam)
Lineage: Eukaryota; Metazoa; Mollusca; Bivalvia; Venerida; Veneridae
Exons: 2
Source: RefSeq, a predicted model, not a curated record
GCAUCACACAUUUGCUAUAAACUUGAAAUCAUUGACUGCUAUCAAGGGCAAGUAACUCUACAAGGCACUCUGGUGAAUUAUGGCCCCGUUUCUACUUUCUAUUUUAAGGGGAGCAAUUUUUUUUCUGUCCUUGGACAGGUCUUGACAGGUCUUAUUAAUUUGAUAAUUUAGUGGCAGGUAGCUUUCACUCCAGAUCACAGCAAUAAGCCACAUUGAAUUUACCAGAGCUCAAUUUGGCCACUGCAAUGUUACUGGGCAGGCUGUCAUGCAUGUUUACCAGUACUGAAUGCCUUCACUUACACAAGGAACUGAUUACUUCUGUACAUGCCAGAGCAGAAGUACAGGGCAAAUGACCAUAGAAAGGAUUUCUUGAUCAAUCACAAGGAAUGUGACCUGCCCCGUCAGAAUCAAAAUUAGGUAGCCUGAUUUAUAGUCCAAAUAUUGAGUCCACCAUAGCCUUUUGAGCUAAUGACGGCUAUUUUGAUAAUUUGUCAAAUUAAUGCCAUUUGUACUCUUUGUUGAUUCACUAAUUGGUCAUCAUUCAUGUUAACCAAUUCUUCUGUAUUUUUCUUAUAGGAGAUCUGAUGGUUCAUUAGAAAAAUGAUGUAGUGUGUGUGUUGAUCUGACGGGACAAUGAUUCCAUUAUAUAAAAAAGUUGUUAAACGGUGAGCACUAGAUGAUAUUUUCCAUCGUGUUAUCAAGACAAGACGGUAAGAAUUGCAGUGUUUUUAGUUGCUGAGCAUUGUGAAAGACGAGGCAUGUACAGAACAGAGAGGUAAAAUAUUGAAAAGGUAUAAUAUUGUAUUUAUUGUGACGGGAGGGACAUAAAUAAAUGCCAUUUUGAAUAAUAUGUUGUGGUUAGUGAAAUGAAUAGAAAAGGAUAUAGUGAAUUGCCUGGAAAGAAAUGAGAAUGAAAACAUUGUGAAGUUUUGAGAAUAUGAAUAGGACAUGAAAAGUCAGUGAAGUGAAAAAUGGAAAGCAUUGUUUGAAAUAGGAAAAAAUGAAGGAACUACAAGAGCUCAGCAAUAGACAUUUUUGAAAAAUGGAGAUGUGAAAGUGAAAAAUGAAUGAAAAUAAAUGGAAAGGGAGAGAAUAUAUGGAGAUUGGAAUAGAAAAAAUUGAAUAACAGUCGAGGAAAUGGAAAAAAAAUUGUAAAAUAGUCAAGGAAAUGGAAUGAACUAGAGGAGAGUUGAAUGAAAUGAAAUUUGAAAGUGAAAUAAA